GCACCCGUAGCUCAACUGGAUAGAGCGUCCCCCUCCGGAGGGGAAGGUUGGGGGUUCAAAUCCCCCCGGGUGCA
RNAcentral lists this transfer RNA (74 nucleotides) under Caldifarciminota bacterium. RNAcentral describes it as "tRNA-Arg". It matches the Rfam family "tRNA". Rfam says of the family: Transfer RNA (tRNA) molecules are approximately 80 nucleotides in length. Their secondary structure includes four short double-helical elements and three loops (D, anti-codon, and T loops). Further hydrogen bonds mediate the characteristic L-shaped molecular structure. tRNAs have two regions of fundamental functional importance: the anti-codon, which is responsible for specific mRNA codon recognition, and the 3' end, to which the tRNAs corresponding amino acid is attached (by aminoacyl-tRNA synthetases). tRNAs cope with the degeneracy of the genetic code in two manners: having more than one tRNA (with a specific anti-codon) for a particular amino acid; and 'wobble' base-pairing, i.e. permitting non-standard base-pairing at the 3rd anti-codon position. RNAcentral also lists the same sequence under 1 other name. Lineage: Bacteria; Pseudomonadati; Caldifarciminota. The record is from RNAcentral.